This 118-nucleotide microRNA precursor is filed under the name Panax ginseng (ginseng). RNAcentral's name for it is "MIR6135 microRNA precursor family". It matches the Rfam family "MIR6135 microRNA precursor family". The record is from Rfam by way of RNAcentral. Lineage: Eukaryota; Viridiplantae; Streptophyta; Magnoliopsida; Apiales; Araliaceae.
AUGAAGUUUAUUUUGGGUAAGUUGGUCAAUUGACUAAUAGAAUACUGACACGCAGGCGAGUUCUAUGUGUGUAGUAUUUAUUGGCUCAAUUGACCAACUUACAAAAAAAUAACUUCAU